UUGUUGAUCAGUGCUAAUCCUCGAUACUCGAAGGAGAGGUCGUCCGUGUUGUCUUCUCUUUAUUUAUGAUGAAACAUACACGGGAAACCUCUUUUUUAGUAUCAAAUC
This 108-nucleotide microRNA precursor is filed under the name Mustela putorius furo (domestic ferret). The record is from RNAcentral. Lineage: Eukaryota; Metazoa; Chordata; Mammalia; Carnivora; Mustelidae.